GGGACCUUCACCUUUGUAAGGAGACAUGUGCAUUAUUCUGAAUAAUACUAUCUCUCUAUUCUCUCUCUCUACUGUUAUCAAGUAAACUUCUCUCUAUCUCUCUCUUUGAUGCUUAAGCUCUCUACUGUCCUCAAUAUUUCAGAUCUAUUAUUUUUUUGACUAAGUAGUCUCUUCUAGGGCUGAUUAUACUUGAUUACUAUUUACCCAAAUACUUUUUUGUUUGUUUUCAAGCUUACAAAGUGUAUGUAUCUUUUGAGAAAAAUAAUUUGGCGCCGUUUGUGGGGAUUUCGAGAAUCAAAGUUAUAGUUUGUGCCAAGAAAACCACUGACAACCAUCCCCUACAUCGCACGAGCAAACAUGGCUGACAACUGUGCAAAAAAGAAAGCGAUAGACGAGGUUGGGGUCAACCUCAUGGAUUCACUCAACGAGGUAGGUGAAGAUAAUAUCUUGAACACAACCCCCAGCACCACGAUGAGUGGAGGAACCCCACCUCCCUCAUGGAUUCUCUCAACGAAGCAGGUGGAGAAACGUCUUGAACGCAAACCCCAGCAACACGAUGAGUGGAGGAACUCCACCUGCUCCACCCAGGGAUCUGACGGAUCCGCGAGAAAGGGGAGCUUCAACAUCUACAUCUAAGGAAACACCCCCAGAAGUUAAGGAGCUACUGAAAGAGUGGCUCAUAAGCACUCUUAGUGACUUGGUCAAAAAGUCACUGUUGCACCUCCUUUUGGCCCGCCUACCCCGAGGGGUAAACACAUAAGGGUGUUUUUCCAAUUUAAGGGACAAUAUUCGAAAAUGGGAUUAUUUAUUUAUAGAGUCGCCACUUGGGAAAGGUUUGGCUUUUGGUGUCCCAAGUCACCGAUUUAUCUUGAAUCCCAAAUCGAGGAAAUUUUUGACUUUCCAAGUGAAGUCUGCGAACCAGAAACUCUAAUUAAGAUAUUUUGUUGAUCCAAGGGAAGGUGUUAGGCUCCCCUGGAUCCCGUGGUUCUAGCAUGAUCGUUUAAAUUGUUGUAAAUGACUAAAUAUCUGAUUUUAAUACAUGUUAUAACUUAUGUGCUUUUAUUAAACUUUUGACCGCUUUUAUUCAAAUUGUUAAAGAAAAUUGAACAUCGUUUAAAUAUGUCUUUGGAUUACGUCACAUAAAAUGCACUCAAUCCUGAACAUAUCUGAUUCGACGUUUUGUGAUUUGGAUUUGGGUCGCAUGAAAUGCACACCCGAAUUUAAGAAAGUAGGAUCAUUAAACACGUGCGUAAAGAGCCUAUCGCAUUAUUAUUUUUGGGAAAGGCCGUUAAAUUUGCUUAACGGCUCAUCCUAAAGUCUAAAUAGUUAAAAUAUACAAUUAUUGAGGGCCCCACAGCUCACAUAUUUUUAUUUGGCGAGGUGAGGCGGAUUUAUUUUGUUCAAGGAUGUCUUAAAGCGACUAUUCUCUAUUUAUUCUUGUCUCUAAAGAUAAAGAAAAUGUCCUAAUUAUACAAUAUUUAUAAAUUCGAGACUCGAAUUCAAGUCCGAAUUCAAACAAAAAGGGGGGACCCUAUUAAUAUGAAUCCGCUAACUAACUCGAAACCCAAACUCAUAUUUGUUACACUAUGUAUUCUUAUUCAACAAUUAAACUCAAAUAGGGCCUCAAACAGAUACCCGGAGGCCCGAAGUUAUCAAAUAGAUUUAUUCGAUGGGAAAGUAACAAUCAUUCAAAUUGACGCCCAGUUUGUUAAUCGGUUGCAAAUAAAACUGAAACUGAUUUUUUUAUUCAAACCGUUAUGCCAGAAAUUUAAGACCUCAUUGAACCUAAUUAUUUCACUACAAUCCAAAGAGAGAAGUUUGAAGCAUAAUCUGAUCGGAUUUGAUUUUUUACCCCCUAAAGCUUAGGCUUCCUCAUGUCUUAAUCUGCUGGUGGAUUACUAUAUUACUACUGAAGAUGACAACUAAAUUGGAAACAUGAUUUGCAUAAAACAACUAGAUUAUAUGGCUUCGUUUAAUACUAUGUACGAACUUGUUGUACACUAUUUCCAGAUUGUUCCUAACAAACGUUAACCACUUGCGUGACUCACUUUUUCAUAACAGACUAUUGAAUAACAGGUUGAUACAUGAAACCGGUUGAACUUAUUUUAGAACUAUUGGGAUAAAUCUGAAAGCUACAAUCUAUAUAGUCCAUUAUACAUUCAAUCACUUAAACAAAUAGUCCUAAUUAUAGUUUAAACCAUUACUAUCAACUAUAAGGCGAAUACAAUACGUGAUGAAUUUCCCGUGAAGCCGGGCUUCCAUUUUUCAUUUUUAGUUCUGCAACUUUACGUAAAUACUGAUGUUCAAAAAUAUGUUCCUCGAUUGGAAAGCAGAACAGAAGAAGAAAGAUCAGUCAGCAGUAGAUAACACAGCAACAACAGUAGUAACAGAGCAGUAGUACCAAACAACUCAGACUUAAAAUCAGCAGUAAAACUCCAACAGCAAAAGAGUAAUGAAAAUAACCAACACCAGUACCAGAUUGACCAAAGUAUAACCCCAGCAGACCCAACAGAAUCAAAGUAACAAACACUCAGAUCCAAACAAUAACAACACCAGUUCCCAAACCAGCAAUUCACUCAAGCAGAUGAACCUAAGGUUUGGAAAUGUUUGCCUCUAAACUCUCAACACUCUCACAGACUGAUUAAAGAACCAAAUGCAGAAAACUAAGAGGACUGGUUGUUUUUUUAAAGAUUCCUAAUAUUCUUUAUGUUUUUUACCUCUGAAAAUGAUCUUCAAAAACCAACUAAUUUCUAUCAAUCUGAACUUUAAUCUUCAAAAUUCAGUCCCCCUCUAGUCCUAAACGACCCCUAUUUUAUACCAAAGGCCGUCCCUUUUUUCAGCUCCUUUUUCUUUACUUUUACUAUUACCCUUUUAUUAUUACCCUCUACUUCUUUCUUGCUUUCUAGCUACUAUAUUCCUCUACUAUGUGUAUCUUUUAGCUUUUCAUUAUUAAUCUACUAUUUCUAAUAUUCAAUUAGUAAAAGGUGCCUAAAAGUUGUCCCCUCCACAACUGAUCCCCCUUUUUAAUUAAAUUAUUCAGUAGUUCAGUGGCCCUCUGAACAUUCAAGCUGGCAGACCAUUCAAACUGACCAUUUUCUUCAAGUUUUUGACAUCCCAAACUGCCCUCCUAAAGUUACUGAAACUACUGACCCAUAAGCUACAACUAAUCCUCCUAAUCAGCUAUAACCAGCUCCUAAUCAAGUUCGAACAAUAAUUCAAAGUCGGAGCUCUGAUUCAAUCUGAAAUGGCACCUAACAUAAAGACUAAAGGUUCAGGGCAUCACAUACUGAGCUAUCUAUAUUGGUGAGCCAAUCAUAUUCAACUCAGAGACAAGUAAAUUGAAACCAACUACAUUAAACAUACACCUCAUUGAAUUGGAAAACCAAAAAAGAAACAACCAGAAGAAGUUUUAUAGGGGAAUGACAGGAAAAUGAUAACAAAUGAUCAAUCAAUUCAUUUUGAAGACGAACUAAAUAUACAAAAAGGCUUAUUUCAAAGUUCACACGCCAGCAGGCUUAUUGCGAUAUGAAAAUUGGAACAAAAACGAGAAGGGGAUGAAGCAUACUGGAAGGAACAACUAAACUACAAUCAUGUUUAAACUAACACUUAAACCACGGGCUAAUCGAUGAAGCUUGUUCAAUCAUUUAAACAAUUUAUACAUGUAAUCCAUAAUAAUAGAAACAAUGACAAAAUUGGACCAAAUAAAAGGUCUGAUGAAGAAGGAAAGAAAAUCGGCAAUAGAAAAAUUCCAACUCAUCUUUAAACAGACAAACAACAAUAAAAAUGGAAAAAUGAGGAGAAAAAAUAGAAGAAAUACCUUAGAAAUUAGAAACCAAAUGGACUCCGCCUAAAACUUUUGACUCGAACCUUUUGGGGUCAAAUGGACCUUAAUAUAGUGUUCUCUACACAGAACACUUCGACUAAGGUUGAUUAAACACCCAAGUUUCCCCCGUUUUUGGACAAAUUCCAGCUUGGUCAUAUUUUAGGGUUUUUGGUUCAUUUUGGGAUUCGAACGAGUCCAACGUGAUUCGAAGGGAACCAGUGUUGAUUCAGGGAUGAGGGAGGUCUAGUGGUUGUGUGGUGUUAAUUAGGGGUGGAUUGGGCGGGUUCAUGGUCUGCUCGAAUCUUCGAUUGAAGAUUCGAGAAGAUGUGGGGUGAUUCGAGGCAAACAAUUCAUGGAUUCGUGUUGUGGAUGGGGAGAUGGCUUGGGAGUGUCAAUUUGGUCGUCGGAGGCGUCGUUACUGCCGGGUUUCUGAUGGAAUCACUGGGUGGUGGCUAGGGUUUGUAAGGUGGAGUUCGUCUCUGAGAGAGACGAAGAUAUGGGUGUUUUGUUUUGGG
Molecule: long non-coding RNA, 4338 nt
Filed under: Nicotiana benthamiana
Lineage: Eukaryota; Viridiplantae; Streptophyta; Magnoliopsida; Solanales; Solanaceae
Description: long non-coding RNA (NBEN_LNC020307)
Source: RNAcentral